Bos taurus (domestic cattle) is the source of this 1753-nucleotide long non-coding RNA. The record is from Ensembl. Lineage: Eukaryota; Metazoa; Chordata; Mammalia; Artiodactyla; Bovidae.
AUCUUGACUUUGGGAGCCCGUGAAAACUAGAAUAAAAAUGCCUUUUUUGUCACUUUCUUUGGUUUGCUACUAUCAGAGGAGACCAAAUUGCAAGACUGUGUUACUCCGAGUCUUUAGCUGCAAUAGUCUUAUAACGUGUUUUGAGAUCCUAGGAAGACAAUGUUUAUGUACAUGUAAAAUACGAAUAACAAACUGGUCUUUGGUGUAUCAGGGAUCCUUACCUUUUUUCCUGAAACUCCUCUGGACUAUCUAAAUGACAGUCUGGUGACAUUUAUAAUCCCCUUUUCUAAGUAAAUAUAUUUUAGCUGCAUAGGUUAAAACACAUAGGAUUUAAAAGACACCAACAGUACUAAAAUAUAAUUUUCUCUGUGAACAGAUUAGCUUCUCUUGGGAUGCAAAAAGGUCUUUAAAAAUAACAUUUGUUGAGUUUUUAUUAUUAAAAAUAUCCAUGUUCAGUUUUUAGUAAAGACAUAAAAUUUGGAAAUUCUAAUUAAAGUAUUAAAAAUUAAAAAUAAGCUACAGCUUCAAUUAAAAGAACUUUUUGAACAUCGAUUUAUAUCUGAGAGGUGGUUACAUUAUGAAAGAUAAUUGCUUGCUCGUUUUAAACACAAAACAUAGUAAAAGUACAGAUGAAAAGUGAGCAUAAUCUUUAAGAAUCUUCCAAUCAAUACUUAAUCCUGGAGUUUUCCAGUUAAAUGGGAUACAGAAGUUCAUCUAAUCCUGGAGUAUGGAAUCUGGCCUGAAGAUCAGAUUCACCUGGGAAAUUUUUUUUUUUUUUUAAAUUUAGAUUCUCAGGCUCUAUCCUAGGCCUCCCAGCAGAGAAUCUCCAGAAACAGGGCCAAGGAAACUACUUUUAAAUGCUGCUUAGGGACAUCUGAUUAUCAGCAAGAAUGGGAAGCACUGAUAACACAACAGUCUCCACCCCACCAAUGCAGCCUGCUCUCUAAUCAGAUCUUUAAAUGCUUCUUCUAAAGGAUUUUUGGUUUGGAGAUUCAGUUCUCAUACCCCAGUACAGACUUAAACUGGUAGCAUCAUGGUCUGUGACAGUGACCAAAAAACAGGUUAACACUUCAGGUUCUAAAAUCAUGCUUUCUACUGAGUUAUGUCCUCAUGGACAGCUCCCUCCUACCCCCUGUGCUCAAGUGCACAGCACAGGGGUGGGCUGGCCCUGGCACAGCACUUGCUGGCCAGGGUGAGAGUGACAUCUGAGGGGCGACCGGCGUGGGGGGCUGAUACUUGGAGUGCCUCUCUGGAUCUGGAUUGUAGGCUUUUUCAUCCUCUUGAAGUCUACAUGCUGCGUUUUAUUCAUUAGCACCUACGAGGGAUUAAUUGCCAUCAGGCAUGUAGGUGGAAUUCCUGGCAGGGAGCAAGAAAUGGAAUAGGUUUGAUGACAACCAAUGAUCUGCCAAAGCCCUGUCAGAAGGAGAACAGAGUCUUGCUGUCACUCAUCCACCCCUUUAAAUUCAAAUGAAGAUGCUUCUGGGUGGGGAGGGGGAGGGGGUUGGCACCAGUCCAACUUUGCAUUGAAGAUACUGUACAUUUUUACUGUAUAUGCGAACGUCCCUGCUCCUGGUGAGGACUCAUUGAUUUUUUAGAGGGUCACUCAUCAUUUCUCGUUACACUUCCAAGGCUUCUCCUUCCACCUAGGGCACUCAAGAGAUGAAGUGUCUGGCUCCCAAAAUAUCAGACAUCAAACAUCUAUGGAGAUUAUUUUUGCAGACGCUUCAUAUAUAUUAAGGCCAGCACCGUUCUA